Molecule: long non-coding RNA, 1103 nt
Organism: Paralichthys olivaceus (Japanese flounder)
Lineage: Eukaryota; Metazoa; Chordata; Actinopteri; Pleuronectiformes; Paralichthyidae
Source: RefSeq, a predicted model, not a curated record
UGCAGCUGUUGAAUAUUAUACCCACUAUCUGAUACCUCAAAGCAAAGCAGCAACUCAUUUAUGGUAUAUGUUUGCCAGAUAAUCACCACAAUCUUUGACAUCAACAGACAAGUUGUUGGCUAAACUGAAUUUCACAGCUCAGACUCGUCAUGGUUUCCUGUGUGGUGGGCAGUUUCUCAGUUUGAUCAAGUGCAGCACACAACGACAGACUUCUGGCAGCUGAAUCAAAAUCUACCUGCAGAUCCAAUAAACAAAAAUGUCAAACCCACCGGUCACCCAUCAACCAGGUGCAGGCGGCUAUGGGACAAAUGUCCAGACUGGAGAGUGGAGCACAGGCCUUUGCUCCUUCUGCAGUGACUUUCUUGUCUGUGCUCUUGGCUGCGUGUGUCCUGUUGCCCUGGGCUGCUACACUGCAGAUAAGUAUGGAGAAAACUGUUGCCUGGGUUGUUUGCCAGGAGGAUUGACCGCCAUGAGGACUCAUAUGAGACUGACCUAUGGUAUUCAGGGAACCGUAUGCAACGAUGCCUUGAUGUCUUGUUUCUGUGGACUUUGUGAGCUGUGCAGGAUGGCGCGAGAAAUUCGUAUCAGGAAUGGAGAAGUCUCACAGUAACCAGACGCAGAGGAUUCUGGGCUGCUUGACAGUAUUCCUAUUUGUCACUGUUCCCCUGCUGCUGUGGAUGCAAUGUGUUUAUUUCUGUAGCUUUUAUGCAAAUAACAAAUGCAAAGCAAUUAAUGAAAUGCAUUUUAAAGUGUCAAAUGGAUUUUUACCUUUAGCUUUAUACUCAAGUCUAGUCAAGUCAACAUUAUUAUCAAUAAUGUCAUAUGUGCAGGACACACAGAGAAUUGAAAUAGCGUUUCCUCUUAUCCCCAGUGCAAACAGCAUUAAACAUGAAAUAUAAAAAAUAUAAGUAAUUAAAAGAUAUAAACAGGCAGUGGCAGAUCUAGACAAUAUAAAGAGUAUAAAUAUGGCGGGAUGAACAGAAUGAACUGUAUAAAUAUAAACAGAAUUAUCUGUUUAUAUUUAUACCAUUCAUUCUGUUCUGUGUGUCUGUGUAACAUUGUAACUAUUUUGCAUCAGUGUAAAUAAAUUACAUUGUUCACUC